AGCAGUCAAAAUGCAAAAGAUUCAGUUUCCUAAAAGAAAGAAAAGCAGCAGAUUUCAUCAUCAUCGUUUCACUGUGGGAGUGCAGAUUGAAAUUCUCUCCAACAGCAGCGUGCAGCCAUCACCUUUAAACUCGUCUGUUACUGAAAGUAACACUGUCAACGCUGUAAAGGUGGUUGUGAGAGUGGGGCGCCUUUGAUGAAGGUGUUAUGCAAACCUCUGACCAACUUUAUUUGAAGAGAUCUGGUGCAUUAGAUCAUCUGUGGACCCUCUGACGACAACUUAAAUGUUAUUCUACCACAACAGAGAAUAAAUGAGAACAAGAAGAAGAGCGUGCCAAUGUCGGAGCUGCCAGAGGAAGCUCAGAGACUGAAGAGGGCAGCCUGGAGAGCAGCUUCCAGACGAUAUUAUGCUCGAAAGAUAGCUCGCCAGCAGGCAAACCCAUCACAAUCCAGCCCCUUCCCCCACAUCGCAAACUCUCAGAAUUCACAGCCCAGCUCUUUUGUGGAUAAGAGGAGGAGGACACUGAUAUCGGAGCUACCUGAAGAGUCUCAGACGCUGCAGAGAGAAGCUUGGAGAGCCGCAUCCAGGAGGUACUACGCUAGAAAAAUCGCUCGGCACCAGACGGAGACGACACAGUACAGAAACCUGCUGGAGAACAUAAACCCAUCUGGAGACACGCAGGGACCCAACAGGGAAGGACCUCACAUGAACACUGGAGGAAUAAUGUGCAGCUGAUAGACAGAAGUUUUACAUUUUAAAUGUUUCUGUUCAGCAGAUUGGAGGGUCCUUUUUACUGCGGUAUGAAGAAUAAUGAAAUCUGACUGUUUGUGUUUUGGUGGCUUUGAAUUAAUAAUGAUGGGAAUUGUCUCAGGUCUGAAUAACAUGAACCUGGUGUUUCAAAUGAGUCAUCUGUGCAUUUCCUCAGUUCAUGACCUCUUGAUGAUGUGUUAGGCAGCAGGUUUAAUCAGAAUCCUAGUACUAGUACCAGCAAAAUUGAACCUUUCACAUAUCACACAUUUCAAAAAUAUAUCAAACUAAAAAAAGAAAUAUUGGGAGAAAUUGUCUUGAUGUUCUAUAAAAUUAAAAGUUGAUCUCGCUCCUGUCAUCCUUCUGUCUCCAGGAAUUUUUGGUGGAGUCAUCCAGUGUCAGACUGUUUUUGAAGUUAACCUUCAUGAGAUCAACUCUACAUUCUGAUUUGUCUCCCUUCAUGUCAGCAAUAUUUGCAUGUACAAAACUUUUACUGGAAAAGAGCCUGAAUAAAUGUAUCAUGAGGCAAUAUGCAUAAAUCCAUGGCACUAACUAACAUGGCAGUACAGCGCCCCUGGAGAGUAACAUCUGUAACUACAGCGUGAGUGCAUCCAUAGUGGCUACAUUUUUAGCUCCACAUCUUUGAUUUCAGUGUCGGGUAAAGAAUUAUUAUUUCAGACAAUGCUGGUAAACUUUAAAGUGUAUUUUUGGACUUUGUCAAAUAUUAAAAACUGUCUUUCCCCUUCCCGUUGAAAUGAACUCCCAUCAGUUUCUGGGUUACACUUCAGUAUUUGAAGCCAGCAAGCAGGGUGAACACAGAAAUGUUAAAAUAUCUCAUUUUGCAGUAAAUGUGUACAAUAAAACAAAG
Molecule: long non-coding RNA, 1615 nt
Organism: Oreochromis aureus
Lineage: Eukaryota; Metazoa; Chordata; Actinopteri; Cichliformes; Cichlidae
Source: Ensembl